GAUGAACGCUAGCUACAGGCUUAACACAUGCAAGUCGAGGGGCAGCAUGAUUGAAGCUUGCUUCAAUCGAUGGCGACCGGCGCACGGGUGAGUAACACGUAUCCAACCUGCCGAUAACUCGGGGAUAGCCUUUCGAAAGAAAGAUUAAUACCCGAUAGUAUAGUAUUUCCGCAUGGUUUCACUAUUAAAGAACUUCGGUUAUCGAUGGGGAUGCGUUCUAUUAGAUAGUUGGCGGGGUAACGGCCCACCAAGUCAACGAUGGAUAGGGGUUCUGAGAGGAAGGUCCCCCACAUUGGAACUGAGACACGGUCCAAACUCCUACGGGAGGCAGCAGUGAGGAAUAUUGGUCAAUGGACGAGAGUCUGAACCAGCCAAGUAGCGUGAAGGAUGACUGCCCUAUGGGUUGUAAACUUCUUUUAUACGGGAAUAAAGUGGAGUAUGCAUACUCCUUUGUAUGUACCGUAUGAAUAAGGAUCGGCUAACUCCGUG
Molecule: ribosomal RNA, 489 nt
Filed under: uncultured bacterium
Lineage: Bacteria
Description: partial 16S ribosomal RNA
Rfam family: Bacterial small subunit ribosomal RNA
Source: RNAcentral